RNAcentral lists this ribosomal RNA (466 nucleotides) under uncultured bacterium. Its description in RNAcentral is "partial 16S ribosomal RNA". It matches the Rfam family "Bacterial small subunit ribosomal RNA", at positions 28 to 507 of the family's 1533-position model. The record is from RNAcentral.
GAUGAACGCUGGCGGCGUGCUUAACACAUGCAAAUCGAACGAUGAAGCCCAGCUUGCUGGGUGGAUUAGUGGCGAACGGGUGAGUAACACGUGAGUAACCUGCCCUUAACUCUGGGAUAAGCCUGGGAAACUGGGUCUAAUACCGGAUAGGAGCGUCCACCGCAUGGUGGGUGUUGGAAAGAUUUAUCGGUUUUGGAUGGACUCGCGGCCUAUCAGCUUGUUGGUGAGGUAAUGGCUCACCAAGGCGACGACGGGUAGCCGGCCUGAGAGGGUGACCGGCCACACUGGGACUGAGACACGGCCCAGACUCCUACGGGAGGCAGCAGUGGGGAAUAUUGCACAAUGGGCGAAAGCCUGAUGCAGCGACGCCGCGUGAGGGAUGACGGCCUUCGGGUUGUAAACCUCUUUCAGUAGGGAAGAAGCGAAAGUGACGGUACCUGCAGAAGAAGCACCGGCUAACUACGUG